UGAUAGAAGAUCAACUUUGACUCAAAUAACCACUCGUUACAACCGAGAUCCUGCUAUAACCCGCUCCCCACCUGUCGUGCUCCGCCGUGCUGCCUGCCUCUCGCCAACUCCGACAUAUCCACCUGCUUCGCCUGGUUUCAACUGUGGACCUUCUUCAGAUCCACCACUGCCUGUUUUCGGUUCACUCCCGGAAAACUGCUAGCACAGCCUCGGUUGUUCAUCUCCACUGAGUAUCAUCAUCUAAUAAACACUUGAACUAUU
Perca fluviatilis (European perch) is the source of this 261-nucleotide long non-coding RNA. RefSeq lists it as uncharacterized. The transcript has 2 exons. The record is from RefSeq and is a predicted model, not a curated record. NCBI's taxonomy places the organism in Eukaryota, Metazoa, Chordata, Actinopteri, Perciformes, Percidae.